Molecule: ribosomal RNA, 491 nt
Filed under: uncultured bacterium
Lineage: Bacteria
Description: bacterial SSU rRNA
Rfam family: Bacterial small subunit ribosomal RNA
Source: RNAcentral
AAAGGAAUUGACGGGGGCCCGCACAAGCAGUGGAUUAUGUGGUUUAAUUCGAAGCAACGCGAAGAACCUUACCAGGUCUUGACAUCCGACUAACGAGGCAGAGAUGCGUUAGGUGCCCUUCGGGGAAAGUCGAGACAGGUGGUGCAUGGUUGUCGUCAGCUCGUGUCGUGAGAUGUUGGGUUAAGUCCCGCAACGAGCGCAACCCUUGCCAUUAGUUGCUACGCAAGAGCACUCUAAUGGGACCGCUACCGACAAGGUGGAGGAAGGUGGGGACGACGUCAAAUCAUCAUGCCCCUUAUGACCUGGGCUACACACGUAAUACAAUGGCCGUAAACAGAGGGAAGCGAACACGCGAGUGGGAGCAAACCCCCAAAAACGGUCUCAGUUCGGAUCGCAGGCUGCAACCCGCCUGCGUGAAGUUGGAAUUGCUAGUAAUCGCGGAUCAGCAUGCCGCGGUGAAUACGUUCCCGGGCCUUGUACACACCGCCCGU